This 80-nucleotide transfer RNA is filed under the name Kitasatospora xanthocidica. RNAcentral's name for it is "tRNA-Pro". Lineage: Bacteria; Bacillati; Actinomycetota; Actinomycetes; Kitasatosporales; Streptomycetaceae. The record is from RNAcentral.
CGACGCCGGGCCCCGGAGCGGGCACGCCGUCCGGAUCGGCGUCGGCCGCCACGGGGGUCCCGGCACCCCCGCCGCCGUCC